Molecule: non-coding RNA, 90 nt
Organism: Mycena galericulata
Lineage: Eukaryota; Fungi; Basidiomycota; Agaricomycetes; Agaricales; Mycenaceae
Source: the annotation of a GenBank genome assembly
GUCUCCAUGGAGUAGCGCAACUCACUCCCGAUCACUUCCAGGUCUAUUAAGGGUUUGGGAGAGUGGGUGGUUCGAAUCCGCCUGGGGACG